This 468-nucleotide ribosomal RNA is filed under the name uncultured bacterium. RNAcentral's name for it is "partial 16S ribosomal RNA". It matches the Rfam family "Bacterial small subunit ribosomal RNA", at positions 28 to 507 of the family's 1533-position model. The record is from RNAcentral.
GACGAACGCUGGCGGCGUGCUUAACACAUGCAAGUCGAACGGAAAGGCCCUGCUUUUGUGGGGUGCUCGAGUGGCGAACGGGUGAGUAACACGUGAGUAACCUGCCCUUGACUUUGGGAUAACUUCAGGAAACUGGGGCUAAUACCGGAUAGGAGCUCCUGCUGCAUGGUGGGGGUUGGAAAGUUUCGGCGGUUGGGGAUGGACUCGCGGCUUAUCAGCUUGUUGGUGGGGUAGUGGCUUACCAAGGCUUUGACGGGUAGCCGGCCUGAGAGGGUGACCGGCCACAUUGGGACUGAGGUACGGCCCAGACUGCUACGGGAGGCAGCAGUGGGGAAUAUUGCACAAUGGGCGGAAGCCUGAUGCGGCAACGCCGCGUGCGGGAUGACGGCCUUCGGGUUGUAAACCGCUUUCGCCUGUGACGAAGCGUGAGUGACGGUAAUGGGUAAAGAAGCACCGGCUAACUACGUG